UUGCGGUACACAAGAUAUCUUCCUGGCAACGCCUCCUUGCCUCUGCCUGGAUCUCGUUUGGUUGCUGAAGGUCGUCUCCUGAUAGUGUAUAUUUUGAAACAGAAAAUAUGGCAAGCAAGCCAGUUCUCAGAAACUUGCUCCUCAGCAAGACAAAGAGAGACUUUGUCAUUGCUUUAACGGUCUCCAUUGCUGUUGCCAUGUCAUACAAGUUUGGAGUCCAGGAACAGAGGAGGCAGAAGUUUGAAAAUUUCUACAAGACCUAUGAUGUAGAAAAGGACUACGCUAGGAUGAAGAAGGCUGGUGUUUUUCAGUCUAUCAACACAAUGGUAGAGGAAGGACGUUAUGAGGGAUGAGUAAAGAAAGACUUGGACAGCCUGUGUGAGAGAUGCAAGUGAUGAGAACCUGUGCUAAGAUGCCUGCAGUCAGGAGUAGAACAAAGGAGCCCAAACACUGUUCCUGUCCUGAACAUUUUCAUGGAUGAAUUAUUGAUGUGUGAACUUGCCCUUAAUUUUUUUUUUUUUUUUUUUUUUUUUUGAGGGAAGUUAUUUUUACGUCUUAGACACUGAUGAAUGUUACUUUCACCUCAUAUGGCUAUGUUUAUCAGGUAUCACUGAUAUUGUUUCAGUGUUUAGAAAAUAAAGCCAGCUUGAGUACUUUGA
RNA transcript from Aplysia californica (California sea hare), 659 nucleotides. It is a transcript of the gene named cytochrome c oxidase subunit 6C, with no coding region annotated. The record is from RefSeq and is a predicted model, not a curated record. The transcript is spliced from 4 exons. Lineage: Eukaryota; Metazoa; Mollusca; Gastropoda; Aplysiida; Aplysiidae.